AUAUUUUAUUUUUGUAAAACUAUUUCUAAGAAAAAAUAAGGGGGAACGUUGUGAGACGCGGCAAAGACCGCGGUUCUACUUUAUGUCCGGUAGUCAGGCAAUAUGGCUCCUCUCCGAUAGAUGGCGCACACUGCGCAUUGAGAGUGAGAGACAGCGUUCCCAAUUUAGCUUAUUUAAGGCUAGAUCUAGCUUAUUUGAAAGCGGAACAGCUUGAAAAAUUAUGAAAAUGCUUAUAGCUUUAAAUCUAGCCUUUUUUAAUUUCACUUUGCUUAUCUUUUCCUUUUUAUAUCCUACAUGUAUUUUUUGGUAUUUUUUAAGACAAAUCGAACAAAAAGUAUAUUUGUAGUACAUAUUUUGGUGUAUCAUGGUAUUUUAGAAUUUAUUUAUGGUUUCUUUUCGUUGAAAAGUUUCGGUCUAUACAGAAACUUGGUUGGUGAUCGUGAAAUGUGUAAAUGUGUAAAACAUGCCAAAAACAGGUUACAAACAAAAUUUUCAUCGACAAGCAUCGAUUUCCUCAAAAAUAAAAUAGUACCGCCUGAUGCAAAGAUUGAUGUCUUGAAAGAUGACUUGGAUGAAUUUGCUGUGUCUUCAUAAUAUAUGGGAUAUUUAUUUGAAAAGGAAAUUAAAGAGAAAAAUUAUAAUAAUGAAGUUAACGAAAUCAGAGAGAUGUGCAAGGAUUUUAUAAAGGAGCUAAUUAUCCAACUCAGAGAAAGACUUCCAGAUAAUUUUGAGACAUUAGAAAAACUUAGAAAAUUAGAAAACACAAAAACAUUAGAAAGUUUUUGCAGCAGAAAAUGUACUCAAACAUAAUAAAAAUCAUAAUGAUCUCAUUUCCAUAUUGGAACACUUUAACUAUAAGAAUAUAGAUGGAAUUCUUGCCCAAUAUGGCAAAAUUCAAUUAGUCCCUUGGCAAAGUACAGAUGACACGAUACAAUUUUGGUCAGAAGUACUGACUUAUAAAGAUGCUGGCAAAAACAAGCCUUUUGAAGAAAUCGCUUUAUUUGCCAUUGGCAUUUUAAGUCUACCGUGGUCAAAUGCUGCUAUUGAACGUGUAUUCAGUCAAAUGAAUAUUGUUAAGACCAAGCUAAGGAACAAAAUGACCGUUAAAUCCUUAAACUCAAUAUUAAAUAUAAGAUAUGGAUUGCGCCGUCAUGGAAAAUUUUGUCACAACUAUCAAUUACCGGAGAAAUAUUUAAAUUUAAUACGUUCCAGCGAUAAAUAUACCGAUUCAAGCAAUAGCGAAUUGGAUGAAAUAAUAACACAAUUAUAAAUGUAUAUAUCUAUGUGUUGUUUUAUUUUUAGCCUGUUUUUUACAAUUUUUAGCUUGUUCUAGCUUGUAUUUUUGUAAAAUCUAGCUUAUUUUAGCGCUCAAAAUCUGGCAACACUGGUGAGAGAAUGAGUAAGCGCUUGGCUGGGGUUGCGUAUCACAGGAGACUGGUUACAAAAUUUAGUUUCUAGCUCUUAUAGUCUUUGACAUCUCAUCGGGACGGACAGACAGACAGACUGGCUAUAUCGACUCGUAUGUAUUCAUAUAGAUGCAUGCAUAUUGCCACUCAAAAUAAAUUCGAGUUGAUUAGGAGUUGAUAAUAGUCGUCACAUUGCAUAUAGAUGUAUACUUACACGUCACAAACGUACCCAUUUCCUAAUAAAUGUCACCGAAAAUACAGCAAUAGCUGACGCCACAAAUCAUUGAAGUGUUUCAAUGUACUGUGAUUACAAAUCCCCUUUACAAAAUUUGUAGGCAUUGAUGUGUAUUAUUUUUGUAUUAAACAUAUUGGGGAAUACCCUAGUUAAAAAAGAACACAAAGUUUUUCAAUCUCCAACACUCUUCUAUACGUGUCAGCGCGCUAAGUUAAUUGACUGCUUAUUUUAAGUUAGGUGUUUAUCAGAACUUUUUCCGCGAGAUUGAUUAAGAGCCGUUUUCUCAAUUUCGAACUAAAAUGCCAGUUGGUUGCCUCUCCGAAAAAGUUGACGAACAGAUAAACGUGUCUAAAAAAAACAAUUCGGCUUUCUCGAGGUCGUGGUAAUUUGUGAAAACGAAAAAGAAUAAUGGGUUUAAGCGCACAAAUGUGCUGUACAGCGCAAAACUCAGUAUAACCUUUGCAAGAAAAUGUAGCUAUCGACAAAACGGUACCAGAUUCCCCGGAGAAAAACCAUGGACUCGAGAUUUGGAAAUCUCACUAUCACAGGGUUUCGGUCUAUACAGAAACUUGGUUGGUGAUCGUGAAAUGUGUAAAUGUGUAAAACAUGCCAAAAACAGGUUACAAACAAAAUUUUCAUCGACAAGCAUCGAUUUCCUCAAAAAUAAAAUAGUACCGCCUGAUGCAAAGAUUGAUGUCUUGAAAGAUGACUUGGAUGAAUUUGCUGUGUCUUCAUAAUAUAUGGGAUAUUUAUUUGAAAAGGAAAUUAAAGAGAAAAAUUAUAAUAAUGAAGUUAACGAAAUCAGAGAGAUGUGCAAGGAUUUUAUAAAGGAGCUAAUUAUCCAACUCAGAGAAAGACUUCCAGAUAAUUUUGAGACAUUAGAAAAACUUAGAAAAUUAGAAAACACAAAAACAUUAGAAAGUUUUUGCAGCAGAAAAUGUACUCAAACAUAAUAAAAAUCAUAAUGAUCUCAUUUCCAUAUUGGAACACUUUAACUAUAAGAAUAUAGAUGGAAUUCUUGCCCAAUAUGGCAAAAUUCAAUUAGUCCCUUGGCAAAGUACAGAUGACACGAUACAAUUUUGGUCAGAAGUACUGACUUAUAAAGAUGCUGGCAAAAACAAGCCUUUUGAAGAAAUCGCUUUAUUUGCCAUUGGCAUUUUAAGUCUACCGUGGUCAAAUGCUGCUAUUGAACGUGUAUUCAGUCAAAUGAAUAUUGUUAAGACCAAGCUAAGGAACAAAAUGACCGUUAAAUCCUUAAACUCAAUAUUAAAUAUAAGAUAUGGAUUGCGCCGUCAUGGAAAAUGUUGUCACAACUAUCAAUUACCGGAGAAAUAUUUAAAUUUAAUACGUUCCAGCGAUAAAUAUACCGAUUCAAGCAAUAGCGAAUUGGAUGAAAUAAUAACACAAUUAUAAAUGUAUAUAUCUAUGUGUUGUUUUAUUUUUAGCCUGUUUUUUACAAUUUUUAGCUUGUUCUAGCUUGUAUUUUUGUAAAAUCUAGCUUAUUUUAGCGCUCAAAAUCUGGCAACAAUGGUGAGAGAAUGAGUAAGCGCUUGGCUGGGGUUGCGUAUCACAGGAGACUGGUUACAAAAUUUAGUUUCUAGCUCUUAUAGUCUUUGACAUCUCAUCGGGACGGACAGACAGACAGACUGGCUAUAUCGACUCGUAUGUAUUCAUAUAGAUGCAUGCAUAUUGCCACUCAAAAUAAAUUCGAGUUGAUUAGGAGUUGAUAAUAGUCGUCACAUUGCAUAUAGAUGUAUACUUACACGUCACAAACGUACCCAUUUCCUAAUAAAUGUCACCGAAAAUACAGCAAUAGCUGACGCCACAAAUCAUUGAAGUGUUUCAAUGUACUGUGAUUACAAAUCCCCUUUACAAAAUUUGUAGGCAUUGAUGUGUAUUAUUUUUGUAUUAAACAUAUUGGGGAAUACCCUAGUUAAAAAAGAACACAAAGUUUUUCAAUCUCCAACACUCUUCUAUACGUGUCAGCGCGCUAAGUUAAUUGACUGCUUAUUUUAAGUUAGGUGUUUAUCAGAACUUUUUCCGCGAGAUUGAUUAAGAGCCGUUUUCUCAAUUUCGAACUAAAAUGCCAGUUGGUUGCCUCUCCGAAAAAGUUGACGAACAGAUAAACGUGUCUAAAAAAAACAAUUCGGCUUUCUCGAGGUCGUGGUAAUUUGUGAAAACGAAAAAGAAUAAUGGGUUUAAGCGCACAAAUGUGCUGUACAGCGCAAAACUCAGUAUAACCUUUGCAAGAAAAUGUAGCUAUCGACAAAACGGUACCAGAUUCCCCGGAGAAAAACCAUGGACUCGAGAUUUGGAAAUCUCACUAUCACAGGGUUUCGGUCUAUACAGAAACUUGGUUGGUGAUCGUGAAAUGUGUAAAUGUGUAAAACAUGCCAAAAACAGGUUACAAACAAAAUUUUCAUCGACAAGCAUCGAUUUCCUCAAAAAUAAAAUAGUACCGCCUGAUGCAAAGAUUGAUGUCUUGAAAGAUGACUUGGAUGAAUUUGCUGUGUCUUCAUAAUAUAUGGGAUAUUUAUUUGAAAAGGAAAUUAAAGAGAAAAAUUAUAAUAAUGAAGUUAACGAAAUCAGAGAGAUGUGCAAGGAUUUUAUAAAGGAGCUAAUUAUCCAACUCAGAGAAAGACUUCCAGAUAAUUUUGAGACAUUAGAAAAACUUAGAAAAUUAGAAAACACAAAAACAUUAGAAAGUUUUUGCAGCAGAAAAUGUACUCAAACAUAAUAAAAAUCAUAAUGAUCUCAUUUCCAUAUUGGAACACUUUAACUAUAAGAAUAUAGAUGGAAUUCUUGCCCAAUAUGGCAAAAUUCAAUUAGUCCCUUGGCAAAGUACAGAUGACACGAUACAAUUUUGGUCAGAAGUACUGACUUAUAAAGAUGCUGGCAAAAACAAGCCUUUUGAAGAAAUCGCUUUAUUUGCCAUUGGCAUUUUAAGUCUACCGUGGUCAAAUGCUGCUAUUGAACGUGUAUUCAGUCAAAUGAAUAUUGUUAAGACCAAGCUAAGGAACAAAAUGACCGUUAAAUCCUUAAACUCAAUAUUAAAUAUAAGAUAUGGAUUGCGCCGUCAUGGAAAAUGUUGUCACAACUAUCAAUUACCGGAGAAAUAUUUAAAUUUAAUACGUUCCAGCGAUAAAUAUACCGAUUCAAGCAAUAGCGAAUUGGAUGAAAUAAUAACACAAUUAUAAAUGUAUAUAUCUAUGUGUUGUUUUAUUUUUAGCCUGUUUUUUACAAUUUUUAGCUUGUUCUAGCUUGUAUUUUUGUAAAAUCUAGCUUAUUUUAGCGCUCAAAAUCUGGCAACACUGGUGAGAGAAUGAGUAAGCGCUUGGCUGGGGUUGCGUAUCACAGGAGACUGGUUACAAAAUUUAGUUUCUAGCUCUUAUAGUCUUUGACAUCUCAUCGGGACGGACAGACAGACAGACUGGCUAUAUCGACUCGUAUGUAUUCAUAUAGAUGCAUGCAUAUUGCCACUCAAAAUAAAUUCGAGUUGAUUAGGAGUUGAUAAUAGUCGUCACAUUGCAUAUAGAUGUUUACUUACACGUCACAAACGUACCCAUUUCCUAAUAAAUGUCACCGAAAAUACAGCAAUAGCUGACGCCACAAAUCAUUGAAGUGUUUCAAUGUACUGUGAUUACAAAUCCCCUUUACAAAAUUUGUAGGCAUUGAUGUGUAUUAUUUUUGUAUUAAACAUAUUGGGGAAUACCCUAGUUAAAAAAGAACACAAAGUUUUUCAAUCUCCAACACUCUUCUAUACGUGUCAGCGCGCUAAGUUAAUUGACUGCUUAUUUUAAGUUAGGUGUUUAUCAGAACUUUUUCCGCGAGAUUGAUUAAGAGCCGUUUUCUCAAUUUCGAACUAAAAUGCCAGUUGGUUGCCUCUCCGAAAAAGUUGACGAACAGAUAAACGUGUCUAAAAAAAACAAUUCGGCUUUCUCGAGGUCGUGGUAAUUUGUGAAAACGAAAAAGAAUAAUGGGUUUAAGCGCACAAAUGUGCUGUACAGCGCAAAACUCAGUAUAACCUUUGCAAGAAAAUGUAGCUAUCGACAAAACGGUACCAGA
Molecule: long non-coding RNA, 5706 nt
Organism: Drosophila miranda
Lineage: Eukaryota; Metazoa; Arthropoda; Insecta; Diptera; Drosophilidae
Exons: 9
Source: RefSeq, a predicted model, not a curated record